RNAcentral lists this ribosomal RNA (419 nucleotides) under Babesia bovis. Its description in RNAcentral is "SSU rRNA". It matches the Rfam family "Eukaryotic small subunit ribosomal RNA", at positions 486 to 984 of the family's 1831-position model. Lineage: Eukaryota; Apicomplexa; Aconoidasida; Piroplasmida; Babesiidae. The record is from RNAcentral.
CCGGGCCAUCGAUGGUCUGGCAAUUGGAAUGAGAACAAUUUAAAUCCCUUAUCGAGUACCCAUUGGAGGGCAAGUCUGGUGCCAGCAGCCGCGGUAAUUCCAGCUCCAAUAGCGUAUAUUAAACUUGUUGCAGUUAAAAAGCUCGUAGUUGUACUUCACGUCCCGCCCCAGUGUUUUUCCACUAGGCGGACGCCUCGUUACUUUGAGAAAAUUAGAGUGUUUCAAGCAGGUUUCGCCUGUAUAAUUGAGCAUGGAAUAACCUUGUAUGACCCUGUCGUACCGUUGGUUGGCUUUGGGUAAUGUUUAAUAGGAACGGUUGGGGGCAUUCGUACUCGACUGUCAGAGGUGAAAUUCUUAGAUUUGUCGAUGACGCACGACUGCGAAAGCAUUUGCCAAGGACGCUUCCAUUAAUCAAGAAC